This 328-nucleotide unclassified non-coding RNA is filed under the name uncultured fungus. Its description in RNAcentral is "partial contains 5.8S ribosomal RNA and internal transcribed spacer 2". The stretch from base 1 to 132 matches the Rfam family "5.8S ribosomal RNA", at positions 22 to 154 of the family's 154-position model. The record is from RNAcentral. Lineage: Eukaryota; Fungi.
UGGUUCUGGCAUCGAUGAAGAACGCAGCGAAAUGCGAUAAGUAAUGCGAAUUGCAGCAUCCGUGAGUCAUCGAAUCUUUGAACGCAUAUUGCGCCCUUUGGUAUUCCGAAGGGCAUGCCUGUUCGAGCGUCAUUAUCACCUCUCAAGCCUGGCUUGUUGUUGGAUUCAGGUAAAGCUUGUGCUAUCACCUAUCCUAAAGAUAAUGACGGUGUCUAUGAAGACCCCAGUACAUUGAGCUUUUCAAGCACGUAUUAGGUGGAAAUCUAGGCCCGGUCUGGAUUACAAUUUUUUUCAGGUUGACCUCGGAUCAGGUAGGAAUACCCGCUGA